Molecule: non-coding RNA, 22 nt
Filed under: Arabidopsis thaliana (thale cress)
Lineage: Eukaryota; Viridiplantae; Streptophyta; Magnoliopsida; Brassicales; Brassicaceae
Source: RNAcentral
AUGAUCGUAGUUAAGAGGCCCC